UUUUCUAAUAAGCUUUGUAAAAGUGUGUUACCAAAAUAGGAGCAGAUUUGGAAAUGCAAACUAACAUGCACUUAGAUAUCCAAGUGGGGAGACUUACUUGCACUCUUUCCCUGGAGUCAUUUCAGAUCUGUCCAAGGUGACUCCUAUACCAGCAUAGAGAACAGAAUCUGUACUCAAGAACAAGCCCGGAGACUGACACCAUCCACGAAUGCUUCUGGCUUUGGAUUUAUUGGGACUCCACCUGACACUGUGAUGAACUCUAAUUGAUAAAUCCAGUAUCUGAGCAGACUGGGGACUGAACUGAGGACUAGCUUAAGGAAAUCGAGUAGGUGUGUAGUAGUAAGGUAUCCACUUCUUAACAAUAUCAGAAUCCAAGCACAGGUGUCAUCCAGAAAAGCCUCACAGAAAGGCACAACGACAUUAUGAACUUGACGUGUUUAAGUUGGUGAGGCAUUAGCGGAAAAAAAAAAGCAGUCUAGCUUAGCUUCACUCUUCUUCCACACCAAGGCUGGCUAAGCCCACAGGACAGGAAAGGCCAGGAGGAGGCCCAGCAGAGUGGCUGUCAGUCUUUCACUGGGAGCCCUCCUCCUCAAAAAUGUAUUGCAUUUAGCCAAGGGCUCCCUUCCUUUCUCCUCUUACCAUUGCUCAAGCGCAGAUUUGGGACACCUCUUUCUUCCUUAAUUCCCCUUGUCCACCAUUCACUCAGGCACUCAGACUUGCUCUUUGACUCUGUUUGGAUACAAGCAGAUACAAUAAACCAAUCUGAUUUUCUUCAUACCUGCUGGAAGAUUUUUGGUGCUUCCCCUCAAAAACUCAACAGGACACCCCUUCUCAGAUUCCAUCCUGGCUGAAUUCUGUCCAGAAGCUUAGUCAUUGCAGAAAUUCCUCUAAGGGAUAGCAGUAUGUCUGGGCAGACCUCACAGCCGAGGCCAGUGCUGGACUGAGUUGGGGCUAAACUGAAGCCAUCUCCAAUGAGAAUAUGAGAGCUGGUGCCCUACCACAGAUCCACUCUCCUCCUUCCCUCCUGGUGAGCAAAACAUUGGACCAACAGCCACUGAGAUGCCAACCCAUGAAAAAAGUCCUAGAACACAGCAUUUCCCCCUAGGCAAGCAAGGUGAAGAAAUAUGGUGGUGAGAGAUUAGAAAGAUCAUGUUCUGGAGAUUUGAAAAUCACAUUCCUGCCUUAUCAAGAAAAGUGGCAGAUAAACUUCGUGUCAGCCUUGGCGCACUUGUGGUGCCUAAGCUUUGAUAAAAACCAUGUUCCAGUCAAGAUGUGAGAGAGGGAAAGACCUGCACUUUGUGUCACUAUCAAAACUGAGCCAAAUAAUGAGACAUUUAAAGUACUUAAUGAUUACUCUAAAUUUUUCUUUGUAAUACUUAUAGAAUAUAUUUUUAUUGAGGGAUAGGCUGAGAAACCAUCAUUAGAUAUUGACAAUUGAUGUCAAUUCCAAGGGCUAAGAAGCCUAUGUAGGUUCUAAAAUGGCUGUCAUGGUCCCUUAGACACCUUGCAUCUACAGCAUCCCCUUCAGGAGCAUAGUCAUGUGGAUGUCGCCAUGUGACCCACUGAAAGCUGUCUGGAAAUAUUCCCUACUUCAAGUUUUCCUAGCCAGUCAAUUCUGGAAGGGCUUAGAAGCUGACUCACCUCCUCAGUCUUCUGCUUCUUACGUGUGGGCCCCUGUUUUUAAGGGUCUAUGGCCUGUCAGCUGUACACAUAUACCCAUAAGGUUCUUGUGGGCUGGGUGAGCCUGUCACUGAUAAAAUUCUAUUCCAUGGCAAAUAAAUUGUUCUCCAAGAUACCCUGGGGUUUUCCUUUUGGCCACCUCUUGGGGCUGUGAAAGCGAACCCUGAGAAUGACCAGGUGGGAACUAGACUGCCUGCUUCUGCUUCCAUCCAGGUGGCAGAAGUGCCACUCUUGUCAGGAUCUGCUGGUGUACCAGAAAGGGCAGCAGAGCUGCUCUUCAGAUCAGCUGUCCUAAGAAUGGGAAUGGCUCAUUUUAAAGGUUGAAUUUGAAAUGAAAUGCAUAGAAAAUACUGUUUUCUUUUGCCAUAAAAGUCUGCUUAAGAUUAUUGUCCAUAUUUAUUGACAAAAUGGCCCUCCUUGGACUUCUUUUGUUUUCUUUUUGCCAAAAUGGAUCAGAGAAAAAGUAUUUGGUUUUCAUUCUCUGCUUCCCUUGGAAGAUGCAAACAUCAGACCAAGAACCCCAUUCUGAAAGAUACGAUUAAUUUAAUCUAAGCCUAAAGAUUCAGAAUACUGUCCAGGUUGAAAUUUUGGAUUCUGGAGACAUUACAAAAUAUAAAUACCAGCAUCUUCAUCAAAUAUUUAUCAGGAGCCUGGUUACGGGCAGUGGGUACCUUAGCACUCCUAAACUGUUGUGGCGUCCAGUGAGAAAAGAGGAGUGCUAGCAAAUCAAACAGCCUAGAAACAACCAGGAGCCACGGAGAGAACCAUUAGUUACCAAGCAAAGGCAAAAAGCAGCAACUAGCACCUUUCAGUAGUAUUCAAAUGACCUACUAAUUUUAAGUAGUCAACUAAAGCAGAAUUGCUAUUCAAUAAAUGUAUUAGUAAGACACUCAGAUGUUGAGAGCUUUGCUUAGUGGUGAAGAAUUAAGAUGGUAAUUCUGGUGGCUUGAAUGGUCCUGAUGGUUUGGUUGUAAAACCCAACUGCUGAAUGUCUGCAUAUGAGCCCAACAGGCUCAGAUCCCACAUGCCUUGAGAAGUUUUAGAGACUUCAGUCAUCAGAAAAUGAGUUAAUUUCUGCUGUUGAUGAAGUAUUGGCCCAAGAUAAACUGUAAGCGUGUGGCAAUCACAUUUUGCUGAAAUUGGGUGGAUUAGUUAUUUGUCUAUCAGGCCUUGUGUUCCCGUCUUAAGAAGUCAUGGAGAACAUAAGAUUCACUUACCUAGGAUUUGAAUGGAAGAAGUUCCUAGUAGAUCCAGUUCCUGCUCAGACUGAUGAGGAUUCCAUCCUAUCACAGCUGGUCCUACUUGAUAACAACACUCAUCUUAGGGUAUGCUUCCCAAGAGUAUCAUUUCAGACACUUCUAAGAAGAAAGUCAGCUCAAAAUGUGUAAUGACAAAAGAAUGUCCUUUAUCAGCAUCUUUCCUAGCAAAGCAGGGCCAGCAGAGGAAGCAGAUGCACCUUCCCAGGCAAGAAGAGACAGCAGUGGUAGAAGGUGAUUGCCUGAGAUCAGCAGCAGUCCAGGCAGUGUAAAAUUGGGGUCCACACAAAUUGGCACACAGGCCACUUAGUAGGCUUGAGGUACAUAAGCAAUGCAAGGAUUGCUCAUCUGUGAGGGUCAAAGAGAACGUAAUGUAAGAAGCCAUAAGUCCAUAGCCAUGUGUUUUACUGAAUGAACCUCAAUGCUUUGUAUUAACUUAAUGCCAUUGUACUUUCUGGCUUAUACUUCUGCAAAGUAAAGCACUUUUUCACAGGACUGUAUUGGCAGCCACAUGGUUGCAGCUGUUUUUGAAUUCUGCAGAUGUUUCCAAAGAUAUAAUCAAAGUGUGUUUUUCUAUUCAUUAAGAAACAUAAAUAUUAACUAUCUAUAGAGACAUUUAAGUGUAAUUAAAACAGAUUGUUAUGCUUUAAAAAUGUACUCUAAUAAAUGAUAUAAAAUAUGCUUAUGAUGGAACUAUGGGUUAGAGGAGGAGGACAUACGGUCAUCAAAAUCAAUCAGAAAAGUAAAUUAUAUGGUGUUAGACUCAUUCUA
Nannospalax galili (Upper Galilee mountains blind mole rat) is the source of this 3707-nucleotide long non-coding RNA. RefSeq lists it as uncharacterized. NCBI's taxonomy places the organism in Eukaryota, Metazoa, Chordata, Mammalia, Rodentia, Spalacidae. The transcript is spliced from 2 exons. The record is from RefSeq and is a predicted model, not a curated record.